Molecule: transfer RNA, 74 nt
Filed under: Winslowiella toletana
Lineage: Bacteria; Pseudomonadati; Pseudomonadota; Gammaproteobacteria; Enterobacterales; Erwiniaceae
Also listed under: 2 other names
Description: tRNA-Gln
Rfam family: tRNA
About the family: Transfer RNA (tRNA) molecules are approximately 80 nucleotides in length.
Source: RNAcentral
UGGGGUGUCGCCAAGCGGUAAGGCUCUGGUUUCUGAUACCAGCAUCUGGGGUUCGAAUCCCUGCACCCCAGCCA